GUCUACAGCCAUACCACCCUGAACGCACCCGGUCUUGUCUGAUCCUGGAAGCUAAGCAGGGUCAGGCUUGGUUAGUAUUUGAAUGGGAGAUAAAAUGAAUAGUAGAAGGAAUAUGACU
This is a non-coding RNA of Chlorocebus sabaeus (green monkey), 118 nucleotides long. The record is from Rfam. Lineage: Eukaryota; Metazoa; Chordata; Mammalia; Primates; Cercopithecidae.